RNAcentral lists this ribosomal RNA (557 nucleotides) under Pseudomonas sp. MYb116. RNAcentral describes it as "bacterial SSU rRNA". It matches the Rfam family "Bacterial small subunit ribosomal RNA", at positions 56 to 610 of the family's 1533-position model. The record is from RNAcentral. Lineage: Bacteria; Pseudomonadati; Pseudomonadota; Gammaproteobacteria; Pseudomonadales; Pseudomonadaceae.
UGCAGUCGAGCGGUAGAGAAAGCUUGCGUUUCUUGAGAGCGGCGGACGGGUGAGUAAUGCCUAUGAAUCUGCCUGGUAGUGGGGGAUAACGUCCGGAAACGGACGCUAAUACCGCAUACGUCCUACGGGAGAAAGCAGGGGACCUUCGGGCCUUGCGCUAUCAGAUGAACCUACGUCGGAUUAACUAGUUGGUGAGGUAAUGGCUGACCAAGGCGACCAUCCAUAACUGGUCUGAGAGGAUGAUCAAUCACACUGGAACUGACACACGGUCCAGACUCAUACGGGAGGCAGCAGUGGGGAAUAUUGGACAAUGGGCGAAAGCCUGAUCCAGCCAUGCCGCGUGUGUGAAGAAGGUCUGCGGAUUGUAAAGCACUUUAAGUUGGGAGGAAGGGUUGUAAAUUAAUACUCUGCAAUUUUGACGUUACCGACAGAAUAAGCACCGGCUAACUCUGUGCCAGCAGCCGCGGUAAUACAGAGGGUGCAAGCGUUCAUCGGAAUUACUGGGCGUACAGCGCGCGUACGUGGUUUGUUAAGUUGGAUGUGAAAGCCCCGGGCUC